RNAcentral lists this ribosomal RNA (450 nucleotides) under uncultured Glomeromycotina. RNAcentral's name for it is "SSU rRNA". It matches the Rfam family "Eukaryotic small subunit ribosomal RNA", at positions 569 to 1024 of the family's 1831-position model. Lineage: Eukaryota; Fungi; Glomeromycota. The record is from RNAcentral.
AGCAGCCGCGGUAAUUCCAGCUCCAAUAGCGUAUAUUAAAGUUGUUGCAGUUAAAAAGCUCGUAGUUGAAUUUCGGGAUCAAUAUGUCGGUCGUGCCUUGGUACGUACUGGUAUCAUUGGUCUCUCCUUUCUGACGAACCAUGAUGUCAUUAAUUUGGUGUUAUGGGAAGUUAGGACUGUUACUUUGAAAAAAUUAGAGUGUUUAAAGCAGGCUUUAGCUUGAAUACAUUAGCAUGGAAUAAUGAAAUAGGACGUUUGAUCCUAUUUUGUUGGUUUCUAGGAUCGACGUAAUGAUUAAUAGGGAUAGUUGGGGGCAUUAGUAUUCAAUUGUCAGAGGUGAAAUUCUUGGAUUUAUUGAAGACUAACUACUGCGAAAGCAUUUGCCAAGGAUGUUUUCAUUAAUCAAGAACGAAAGUUAGGGGAUCGAAGACGAUCAGAUACCGUCGUAGU